UAAAGUCAGCCUAUAGUUCUUGGUAUGCCUUUAAUCAAGAUUAAACAUCUAUUUUAAUAAGAUUUUAUAGUUGAACAUUAAAAAAAUGAAGAAUGACUAGCACAAUUGAUCAUUAUUAUAAAUAUAUUUUGAUAGGCAGCAAAACAGCUCUUCCUAUUCUACUUUUGAUAAUUAUCAGCCGGCCAAAUUACUAUCCCUCUUCUUCAGAUGGAGUCCUGCUGCUGCAAAGAAGAAGGCAGCGUAACAGUAUUCAUUGUUUUUGCACCACACCCAGUGCUCCAUGC
This is a long non-coding RNA of Neogale vison (American mink), 284 nucleotides long. RefSeq lists it as uncharacterized. The transcript is spliced from 3 exons. NCBI's taxonomy places the organism in Eukaryota, Metazoa, Chordata, Mammalia, Carnivora, Mustelidae. The record is from RefSeq and is a predicted model, not a curated record.